UUAAAAAGUAUUUAUUUAUUAAAGAGAGCACAAGCAGGGGGAGGGGCAGAGAGAGAAGCAGACUCCCUGCUGAGCAGGGAGUCCUAUGUGGGGCUAGAUCUCAGGACUCUGGGAUCGUGAUGACCUGGGCUGAAGGCAGAUAGUUAGCUGACUGAGCCACCCAGGUACCCCAGGCAUUUUUUUUUUUUUUUUAAGAUUUAUUUAUUAAUUUGAGGGACACUUUCAGCUUGGGUCAUGUUCCCCUAGUCGUGGGAUCGAAGCCUGCUUCUCCCUCUCCUUGAUCAUUAGGUUGUGAACAGUUAUAAAGGGAGGAGUAACUUGCAAUGGCACCAUGCGUUCGUGCAGCACAAAUCAAAUGUAACCACCCUUAAAAAAUGCCUCAAGUCUACUUUUGUGAUUUUUGCAAGAGAUUGGAUGAAGUGUAUCUUAGUUUCUUUGAUGACAAGAUAGGAAAAUGCUCACUGAAUUUUGAGUAUCCAAAAAAGUGUUGAUGAAUGGGUUGAUAUCAAUGAGUGAAUGAAAUGGGAAAAUGAUCUAUCAUUGGUGUGAUUAUAAGAACAAAUACUCUUUGAUUAAACUAGUGAUUUCUGGCAACCCAUUCAAACUGUAUUGAGCAUGCCAUUAGUUAUGUGCCAGAUAAAGUUGUAUUUGGUUAUAGGAAUGAACAAUUCCUAGCAGUCCCUGAAUUUUAGGUUCCAAAGAACCUGAGAGAUCAGUCAUUAUAUACACUGUAUUUUGGGGUUUUGUUCAUGCAGCUUCACCAGCACCUUACAAUUUAAAAUAAUUAAUCUAAGACUUUGUUGUAUGCUUCUUCUACUCCCAGCUUUGCCAUAUCCCAUAUCUCUUUGGCACACAGCAAAAAUUGGAAUACCUCCAAAAACUGCAAGGAAAAAAAAGAAAGUUACUAUGUGCAUUGUUUUUAACCUUACUAAAAUGCUAAUUGGUAAUAAUGACACAAUUCUCUAAUAGCACAAACUUAAGUGCCUGCCUCCUGUGCACCAGUCACUAAGCUUAUCACUUUAGUCGCAUCAUUAAUCUUCAUAGUAACAUUAGGAAGUGAAUGCUUGUCUCUGUUACCUCUGUUUUACGGUGAAGCAAAGUGAACCUCAGGGAAGCGUUACAGUUUUGGAGAUCAGGCCACUAACCAGUGACAGAACUGGGAUUCCAGAGCAGCUGGUGACAGAACCAGAGCUCUUUCAGGUCUUGUGUGACUCUGAUUUCUGUAUUCUUGCUGCAGAAUCCACAUCCUGUUUGCCUUCAUUAACAUUUCUCAUGUAUUACUGCAUUCUUGACUGUUGCCUUUCUCACUACCACUCCUUUCGUCUCAUUUAUUAGCUCUCGGAGUCUCCUAACUUCUGGGCCCAUGGCUCCAGUCCUGUCCCUUCUUUCAUCCAUCCUCUACCUGACAUUUCUGAGCACCCGCUGGGCACCGAACACUGAGUUAGUUAUAUGCUUUGCAUAGUUUAUUUCAUUGAUUUCCUCUUGGGUCCCCUCAUUCAUCCAGAAAAGAGACCUCGGGUCAGAUAGCAAGAGAAUGUUUUAAACUGAGAGUGUUCAGGUUUUUUUUUUUGUUUUUUUUUAAACAAAGGCAAAAAAAAAAAAAAAAAAGGCUCAAAAUGAAGGCCUGAAUUCUUCUAAGUAAAAAGGCAGUACGAGCCCCUCUUGAAAUUACUGGAUCUGUACUGCUUCAGUCUGUUCUACUAGCUCCCCGCCUAGGCACCCAGUUCAGUAAAAGCCCAGCCCCCUGGUGCCGCAGUGGGUCACAGAGCUUGCCAUAGAGUUGUGCUAGUAGGAUGUGGGUGCACACACUGUAGGCACUGUGUGUGCCUUGUCACACCUCUUGUUGUUCCUUUCCCCCAUCUUCAUGUAAGUCUUCCAGAACAUUUCACUCUAAUAGGGUGAAUAGGGCCCCAGUUUGUCUCAGCAUGGGUGUACUGAGCCCCAUUCCUCUUGGAAGUGGUCAGCUAGAAUAGUCACUAUAGAAUGAUGGCUGUGACCAGAACCAGAUGUCAUACAGCUCCUCAGGCUUCUCUUGGUGAUGUCUUGACUUUGAGGACCAUCGGGUAUAUGUUUGGCCUGCAGGUGAAUAUCUUAGUAAUACUUAAUAGGAAUCUGAAUACCAAAAAUACCAAAAGAAUACCAAAAAUCUUUAUCCAACAUCUUGACCUUUAGUGAGUUGGGUGCCUUGACUGGGAGUUAAAAUACCAGAGCGAUCUAGUACCCACAUCCAACAAUAUCCAGAAGAGUUUUCUUGCCUUUUAACUGAAAAUAGCUCAGUUCCAUUCCCCUAGGCCCCUGCACUCAUUUUGAGCUUUCUUCUCUUCUUUUUUCUUUUUUUUCCCUUUUUUAAAGAAAAGUGGAUAUGCACUUUCAGUUUAACAGAUUUAUCUGAUCUUUGACCAAGACUCUCUUCUCUAGAUGAAUGAGAGGAUCCCACAAGCAGUCAGUGGAACCACAUAGGCAAAGCAUGUAGCUCAGUGCUUGGCAGGUAGUGGGUUGUGUUCAUUUUUGAUUGUAGCUAGAACAUGGCCAUAAGCUUCGUGGCUUAAACCACACAGAGCUUUUUUUAUCUGACAGUUCUGGAGGUCAGAAGUCCUAGAAUACAGGGUGUCAACAGGGCUGUGUUCUUUCUGGAAGCUUUAAGGGAGAAUCUGUUUCCUUGCCCUUUCCAGUUUCUGGAGGCUGCCUGCAUUCCUUGGCUCAUGGUCCUCUCUCCAUGUUCAAAGCCAGCAGUGUAGCAUUUUCAAAUGUCUCUUUCUCUCUGGCCUCUGCUUUUGUCCUCAUGUCUCCUCUAGCUCUGACUCUCCUGCUUCCCUCUUUUUAUAAAUUGUUUUUAUUGAGAUGAAAUUCACCAUUUUAAUCAUUUUAAAGUGUACAGUUCAGUGGUUUUAAUAUAUUCACAAUUUGUACCUCCAUCACCACUGUCUUAUAUCAGAGUCACCUUCUUCUUAUAAGGACUUCUGUGAUUACAUGGGGCCUCACCAGUAAUCUAGAAUAAUCCUCCUAAUCUCACAGUGCUUAGCUUAAUCCCAUCUGCAAAGUCCCAUUUGCCAUAUAGGGUAACACAUUCCCAGGGCCUGGGCAUUAGGAUGUGGAUACUUUUGUGGGGCUGUUAUUCAGCCUGCCAUAGAGGUCCUUAGCAAACGAUAGUGUCUCUUGAACUGACCUUCUCAAUUUGGACACUAAGCUUUUGUGCUACAACUUUCUAGAGUCUUCAUCAGAAUCCUCUGAGCAUCAAUGAAAUAUACUGUUCUUAGGAAAUGUAAGUACAAUAGCUCUGGUAAUAACUACUGUUUAUUGGGUACCCAGCAUGCACUGGGUCAGUUAGGAGGACUUUUGGAUGCAUUGCCAUUUAGUUUUUCUUGAGGUUGAGUUGCUAUUUCUGCCAGUACUCACCCUUAUAAGACCAGAAGUAUGAAAUUUAGCCUUUCCCCUUGAAGAGAUGUGGUAUAAUAGAGCAGGCAAUGACUUCUGACUGAUCAUCCACGGACUCUACACUUUCUUUGAAUUGAAGAGAUCAGAGAAAUUGCGAGUGUUUCUUACAGAAUUAAAACAUAUCACAUGACCCAGCAUUUCCAUUUCUAGGUACAUAAACUGGAAAGCAGUGAAAGCGUAUGUCCAUGCAAAGACCUGUGCUCGAAUGUUCAGAGCAACAUUAUUCACAGUAGCCCCCAACCGGAAAUAGCCCAAAUGGCCAUCAGCUGGUGAUUGGAUAAACCAGUUGUGGCAUAUCCAAAUAAUGGAAUACUACUCAGCAAUUAAUGAGAAACAGGCUGCUGAUGGUAAUGUGAGCGAGUCUCAAAAUACGGGCGUAGGUCGAAGAAACAAAUACAGAAGCUGUAUGAUGAUGUGAAUGUCCUCGACACUACCGAACUGUCCAGUUAAAAAUGGUUAAAUGGCAAAUUUCUUAGUAUGUAUGUUUUACCACUUUUUUUUUUU
Mustela lutreola (European mink) is the source of this 3939-nucleotide long non-coding RNA. RefSeq lists it as uncharacterized. The transcript has 2 exons. Lineage: Eukaryota; Metazoa; Chordata; Mammalia; Carnivora; Mustelidae. The record is from RefSeq and is a predicted model, not a curated record.